GAUGAACGCUGGCGGCGUGCCUAAUACAUGCAAGUCGAGCGAACAGACGAGGAGCUUGCUCCUCUGACGUUAGCGGCGGACGGGUGAGUAACACGUGGAUAACCUACCUAUAAGACUGGGAUAACUUCGGGAAACCGGAGCUAAUACCGGAUAAUAUAUUGAACCGCAUGGUUCAAUAGUGAAAGACGGUUUUGCUGUCACUUAUAGAUGGAUCCGCGCCGCAUUAGCUAGUUGGUAAGGUAACGGCUUACCAAGGCAACGAUGCGUAGCCGACCUGAGAGGGUGAUCGGCCACACUGGAACUGAGACACGGUCCAGACUCCUACGGGAGGCAGCAGUAGGGAAUCUUCCGCAAUGGGCGAAAGCCUGACGGAGCAACGCCGCGUGAGUGAUGAAGGUCUUCGGAUCGUAAAACUCUGUUAUUAGGGAAGAACAAAUGUGUAAGUAACUAUGCACGUCUUGACGGUACCUAAUCAGAAAGCCGCGGCUAACUACGUG
RNAcentral lists this ribosomal RNA (497 nucleotides) under uncultured bacterium. Its description in RNAcentral is "partial 16S ribosomal RNA". It matches the Rfam family "Bacterial small subunit ribosomal RNA", at positions 28 to 507 of the family's 1533-position model. The record is from RNAcentral.